GAUGAACGCUGGCGGCGUGCCUAAUACAUGCAAGUCGAGCGAACAGACGAGGAUCUUGCUCCUCUGACGUUAGCGGCGGACGUGAGAGUAACACGUGUAUCACCUACCUAUAAGACUGGGAUAACUUCGGGAAACCGGAGCUAAUACCGGAUAAUAUCUUGCACCGCAUGGUUCAAUAGUGAAAGACGGUUUUGCUGUCUCUUAUAGCUGCAUCCCGGCCGCAUUAGCUAGUUGUUAGGGUAACGGCUUACCACGGCAACGAUGCGUAGACGACCUGAGAGGGGGAUAGGCCGCAUGGGAGGUGAGACAGGGUCAAGGGGACUGAGGGAGGGAGCAGUAGGGAAUGUGACGCAAUGGGCGAAAGCAUGACAGAGCAACGCCGCGUGAGUGAUGGAGGUCUUGGGAGCGUAAAAAUCGGUUAUUAGGGAAGAACAAAUGUGGAAGUAACCAUGCAGGGAUUGACGGUAACGGAUCAGAAAGCAACGGCUAACUACGUG
Molecule: ribosomal RNA, 497 nt
Filed under: uncultured bacterium
Lineage: Bacteria
Description: partial 16S ribosomal RNA
Rfam family: Bacterial small subunit ribosomal RNA
Source: RNAcentral